Long non-coding RNA from Quercus robur (English oak), 1214 nucleotides. RefSeq lists it as uncharacterized. The transcript is spliced from 2 exons. NCBI's taxonomy places the organism in Eukaryota, Viridiplantae, Streptophyta, Magnoliopsida, Fagales, Fagaceae. The record is from RefSeq and is a predicted model, not a curated record.
UAAUUUUGAAUGUAAAAGUCUAACUUUAUAUAGGUUCUCAAAAAAUAUAAUUGGGAAACUUUUUUACAACAAUGGAGAGGGGAAUUUGAACCAUGUUUAUCCUAUAAAUUAAAGCAACUACCUUAUGCAAUAAACAUAUAAAUAUAAUGCAUUUUGGCUAAAUUUUGAUGCGUUUUGGGAUGAUACAAUUAUGUAAUUUGAUUUAUGUUAUCAAGAUGUAAUCUACAAUUUUACAUUGAAAUUUUAUUCAUAAUGUUCUACUCAUACCAAAAGAAUAUAUUCUGCAGAGUGCAAAGGUAGAUAUUAAUGUGGAGAAGGUUUUCUUUUCAAAAGCAAGGGAUAUUAAAUGAAGGCUUGCUGAUACUAAUUCCAAGAUUGAGGUAUGCAAAAAGAUCCUCAAUGGCUUGGUUGCUUACAAUAUUAGAACCAUAAAGACUUUUAACAGAGAAAGCAUGAAGUCCAUAAACAAAUGGUUAAACUAUUUGACUUUUGGUUUAUUUUAGGAUUAUAAAUGUUAUUUUGAGCUAUGAAUAUAAAUUUUUAUGAUGUUAUGAAGAAAGGUUUUUGUUUUUCUUUUGCUGUAAGUUUAAUUUUUUCCCGUUAUUCAAAUUAUGUUAAUAUAUAUUAUUAUGAUGAAGUAUUAUUUACUUUUGAUGAUGUUAUAUAAAAAAAGAAGUGUACUUUUGAUGAUGCUAUACCGUGUUUUCAUUCUUUUUCGUCUUUUUCUCCAAUUGCAGUAUACCGUGUUUUUUGUACCAGAAAUUGGGUCUUAUGCCAAAAAUAAUAAUUGAAUCAAGAGACUAAACCUACAUUUAGAAUUCAUUUCUAUCUAAACUGCACUAUGAUUAUUACAAAAUCAUUGAUUUAACUCUCUCCUUUUCUGUUUUUGUGUAGGUGAUUUUGUAGAUUUCCAUGCACCAAUGUAUAUCUUACAUGCCCACAUUGCUUAUCACGAACCAAGAACUUGUGCUACAAAUAACAAAAUAAUGUUAUGAACAAUUUUAAUGUUGUAGCUUCAUUGAUGGUAUGUACUUAAAAUGAUUUCAAGCAGCUUCAUUGAUGGCAUGUACUUAAAUGAUUUCAAGCAAAUGCUUCAAAUAUUGAACCUUACUGUAUUUUAAAUUUUUUCCAUAGAGAGUGGCUUGGCUGAGCCUAAUAGCACUGCUUCGAAUAAUUGUGUAUUACUUUCAACCCAACAUUUGGUGUUUUUGAAA